AAGUCGUAACAAGGUUUCCGUAGGUGAACCUGCGGAAGGAUCAUUCUUGAUUAUAUAGCUAUUGCUAUCAUUUAAUAUGUGCACUGUUACCGCCAGUUGGCGGCCGAAAGGUCGUCGCUUGGCAUCACUUCAAUUUACUAGUAACUUAAUGUAACUGUAAUCAUAAAACUUUAUGACAACUUUUAGCAAUGGAUCUCUAGGCUCUC
RNAcentral lists this unclassified non-coding RNA (206 nucleotides) under fungal sp. RNAcentral's name for it is "partial internal transcribed spacer region". The stretch from base 1 to 46 matches the Rfam family "Eukaryotic small subunit ribosomal RNA", at positions 1786 to 1831 of the family's 1831-position model. Lineage: Eukaryota; Fungi. The record is from RNAcentral.